RNAcentral lists this Y RNA (103 nucleotides) under Pan troglodytes (chimpanzee). It matches the Rfam family "Y RNA". From Rfam's summary of the family: Y RNAs are components of the Ro ribonucleoprotein particle (Ro RNP), in association with Ro60 and La proteins. The Y RNAs and Ro60 and La proteins are well conserved, but the function of the Ro RNP is not known. Lineage: Eukaryota; Metazoa; Chordata; Mammalia; Primates; Hominidae. The record is from Rfam by way of RNAcentral.
GGCUGGUCCAAGUGCAAUGAUGUUUGCAACUAAUUGAUCACAAUCAGUUUUACAGAUUUCUUUGUUCCUUCUCCAUUCCACUGCGUCACUUGACUAGCCUUAA